Molecule: transfer RNA, 82 nt
Filed under: Brachybacterium epidermidis
Lineage: Bacteria; Bacillati; Actinomycetota; Actinomycetes; Micrococcales; Dermabacteraceae
Description: Brachybacterium sp. Marseille-Q2903 tRNA-Tyr
Rfam family: tRNA
About the family: Transfer RNA (tRNA) molecules are approximately 80 nucleotides in length. Their secondary structure includes four short double-helical elements and three loops (D, anti-codon, and T loops).
Source: RNAcentral
GGCAGGUUACCCGAGGGGCCAAAGGGAGCUGACUGUAAAUCAGCUGGCAUCGCCUACGGGGGUUCGAAUCCCUCACCUGCCA